Molecule: transfer RNA, 75 nt
Filed under: Crocinitomix sp.
Lineage: Bacteria; Pseudomonadati; Bacteroidota; Flavobacteriia; Flavobacteriales; Crocinitomicaceae
Description: tRNA-OTHER
Source: RNAcentral
GGAAGAGUUGGAAAAACUUGAGCGUCCCGACUGACAACUUCGGGAAGGUCAUCGGUUCGACUCCGAUAUUCUCCA